UCCCUGGUGGUGCAUUCGUCCAGGCCGGU
Molecule: small RNA, 29 nt
Filed under: Bombyx mori (domestic silkworm)
Lineage: Eukaryota; Metazoa; Arthropoda; Insecta; Lepidoptera; Bombycidae
Description: ovarian small RNA-27411
Source: RNAcentral